Molecule: transfer RNA, 73 nt
Filed under: Clostridiales bacterium
Lineage: Bacteria; Bacillati; Bacillota; Clostridia; Eubacteriales
Description: tRNA-Arg
Rfam family: tRNA
About the family: Transfer RNA (tRNA) molecules are approximately 80 nucleotides in length.
Source: RNAcentral
GCGCUCUUAGCUCAGUGGAUAGAGUAUUCGGCUCCGAACCGAAGGGUCGGGGGUUCAACUCCCCCAGUGCGCA